This is a non-coding RNA of Pelobates cultripes (western spadefoot toad), 159 nucleotides long. Lineage: Eukaryota; Metazoa; Chordata; Amphibia; Anura; Pelobatidae. The record is from the annotation of a GenBank genome assembly.
UGCCUCUAGUGCAGGGAUGUCCAAACUCCGGCCCUCCAGAUGUUGCUGAACUACAACUCCCAUGAUUCUCUAGCUAUGUAUUCCAUUAAAAAAAUCAUGGGUGUUGUAGUUCAGCAACAUCUGGAGGGCCGGAGUUUGGACAUCCCUGCUUUAGUGGCU